This 471-nucleotide ribosomal RNA is filed under the name Triticum aestivum (bread wheat). RNAcentral describes it as "partial small subunit ribosomal RNA". Lineage: Eukaryota; Viridiplantae; Streptophyta; Magnoliopsida; Poales; Poaceae. The record is from RNAcentral.
AUGGCCAGCUUGUCAGCGUUGCAGUUCACGGUGAGGAGGAAGCCGGCGGUGUUGGUGCCACCGGCGGCCCCGAUCGACACCACGGGAGCUGAAGCGGCUCUCCGACAUCGACGACCAGGAGGGGCUCCGCUUCCAGCUUCCCCUCAUCCACUUCUUCCAGCGCCACGACAGCAGGGACGACGACCCUGCGCUUGUGAUACAGGGCGCCAUCGCGGGGGCGCUCGUGCACUACUACCCGUUCGCGCGGGGCGGCUGAGGGAGCUCGAGGGCCGCAAGCUCGCCGUCGACUGCACCGGCGAGGGCGUGCUGUUCGUCGAGGCUGACGCCGACAUCCGCCUAGACCAGUUUGACGCGGCCCUGGGGCCGCCCUUCCCGUGCCUCGAGGAGCUCCUCUUCGACGUCCCCGGCUCCUCCGGCAUCCUCGACUCCCCGCUCCUCCUUUUCCAGAGACUUUUAAAAAAAACCAGCUAG